RNAcentral lists this ribosomal RNA (794 nucleotides) under uncultured Glomus. Its description in RNAcentral is "SSU rRNA". It matches the Rfam family "Eukaryotic small subunit ribosomal RNA", at positions 314 to 1113 of the family's 1831-position model. Lineage: Eukaryota; Fungi; Glomeromycota; Glomeromycetes; Glomerales; Glomeraceae. The record is from RNAcentral.
AUCAACUUUCGAUGGUAGGAUAGAGGCCCACCAUGGUGGUAACGGGUAACGGGGUGUUAGGGCACGACACCGGAGAGGGAGCCUGAGAAACGGCUACCACAUCCAAGGAUGGCAGCAGGCGUGCAAAUUACCCAAUCCCGACACGGGGAGGUAGUGACGAUAAAUAACAAUACGGGGUUCUUAAGGAUCUCGUAAUUGGAAUGAGUACAAUUUAAAUCUCUUAACGAGGAACAAUUGGAGGGCAAGUCUGGUGCCAGCAGCCUCGGUAAUUCCAGCUCCAAUAGCGUAUAUUAAAGUUGUUGCAGUUAAAAAGCUCGGAGUUGAAUUUCAGGAUCAAUUUGUCGGUCGUGCCUCGGUACGUACUGGCAUUAUUGGUUUCUACCUUCUGAAGAACCUUGAUGUCAUUAAUUUGGUGUCUUGGGGAAUCAGGACUGUUACUUUGAAAAAAUUAGAGUGUUUAAAGCAUGCAUACGCUUGAAUACAUUAUCAUGAAAUAAUGAAAUAUGACGUUUGAUUCUAUUUUGUUGGUUUCUAGGAUCUACGUAAUGAUUAAUAGGGAUAGUUGGGGGCAUUAGUAUUCAAUUGUCAUAGGUGAAAUUCUUGGAUUAAUUGAAGACUAACUACUGCGAAAGCAUUUGCCAAGGAUGUUUUCAUUAAUCAAGAACGAAAGUUAGGGGAUCGAAGACGAUCAGAUACCGUCGUAGUCUUAACCAUAAACUAUGCCGACUAGGGAUCGGAUGAUGUUAUUUACAAUGACUCACUCUGCGCCUUAUCGAAACCACAGCGUUUGGGUC